GAUGAACGCUGGCGGCGUGCCUAAUACAUGCAAGUCGAGCGAACAGAUGAGGAGCUUGCUCCUCUGACGUUAGCGGCGGACGGGUGAGUAACACGUGGAUAACCUACCUAUAAGACUGGGAUAACUUCGGGAGACCGGAGCUAAUACCGGAUAAUAUAUUGAACCGCAUGGUUCAAUAGUGAGAGACGGUUUUGCUGUCACUUAUAGAUGGAUCCGCGCCGCAUUAGCUAGUUGGUAAGGUAACGGCUUACCAAGGCGACGAUGCGUAGCCGACAUGAGAGGGUGAUCGGCCACACUGGAACUGAGACACGGUCCAGACUCCUACGGGAGGCAGCAGUAGGGAAUCUUCCGCAAUGGGCGAAAGCCUGACGGAGCAACGCCGCGUGAGUGAUGAAGGUCUUCGGAUCGUAAAACUCUGUUAUUAGGGAAGAACAAAUGUGUAAGUAACUAUGCACGUCUUGACGGUACCUAAUCAGAAAGCCACGGCUAACUACGUG
This 497-nucleotide ribosomal RNA is filed under the name uncultured bacterium. RNAcentral's name for it is "partial 16S ribosomal RNA". It matches the Rfam family "Bacterial small subunit ribosomal RNA", at positions 28 to 507 of the family's 1533-position model. The record is from RNAcentral.